RNAcentral lists this ribosomal RNA (253 nucleotides) under uncultured bacterium. Its description in RNAcentral is "partial 16S ribosomal RNA". It matches the Rfam family "Bacterial small subunit ribosomal RNA", at positions 524 to 776 of the family's 1533-position model. The record is from RNAcentral.
UACGUAGGGUGCGAGCGUUAAUCGGAAUCACUGGGCGUAAAGCGUCUGUAGGUGGUGAUGCAAGUCACUGGUGCAAAACUCUGGCUCAACCGGAGGAAAGCCAGUGAAACUGCAUGACUAGAGUGUGGGAGAGGUAGAAGGAAUUCCCUGAGUAGCGGUGAAAUGCGUAGAUACAGGGAAGAACACCGGAGGCGAAAGCGUUCUACUGGAACACAACUGACACUGAGAGACGAAAGCUAGGGGAGCGAAUGGG